Long non-coding RNA from Gossypium arboreum, 839 nucleotides. RefSeq lists it as uncharacterized. The record is from RefSeq and is a predicted model, not a curated record. Lineage: Eukaryota; Viridiplantae; Streptophyta; Magnoliopsida; Malvales; Malvaceae. The transcript is spliced from 2 exons.
AAACCAGAUAAGUGGGGCCUUUGAGCUUACUUCUGUUAAAGUUUGGACAUUGUCACUGUAAUUGAUGCCUUGGCUUUGCAGGCUUCCCUCCCUGGAAAUGGUCAAGCCUUCACUAUCUCCAAUAUAUCUGAUAUUGAAAUUUCGUAUAGGUAAAUGGAGCAAGAAAAAAAAUUAAGGUAAAUAGUGAAUGAAUAGAGAUGGGUUAUUAAUGCUUGUAUCACCUCUGAUCUUCUGCUCCUUCAAUUUUAUGAAUUGUCACCUAUGGGUCAUCAUGAAUUUCCAGAACCAAAUUAGAUUUUGAAAUAAAAAAAAAUUUUAAAUGCUUGAGGCGGUCACUAGACAGUGAGAGAGAACUAACAUGUAGAAUGGCACCGGAGUUGGCAAACUUAAGCGGCAGAGAUACGGUAACAGGUUCAGUUUCUGCAGCAAAAUCAGCAAAAUCAAUCGAAGCUUCACCGAGAAACCCUGCUUUUGAAGAUCCCUGCAACCAAACCCGGAAAAAAUCAGCAAAAACCACUCACCAGUGGAAACUUAAACAAUGGGGAAGAAAAGCCAAAAAGCUGAGGAAUUAUUACAUUUGAAACAACGAAAUGCGUCGGCCUCCCAACAUCCUCCGGCACCAGCGCUAUCGUUACGGCGGACUUUUUCAACCGUGGCACCUGAAAAAAAAAAAAAAGAGGCUAAAUCAGGUAAGAGAUCUUUCAAAAACUCUAAUAAAUUUCUUAACUAGGAAUCUAACUCAGUAGUACCUGAGUUGCCUGAAACUGCAAUUGAAACACUACUUUGAUCUUCUUCUUGUCGCUCUUCCAUGCCUUAAACAUCGUUUACUUUUUUUUUCA